CGUAGGGGCCAAGCGUUGUCCGGAUUUAUUGGGCGUAAAGAGCUCGUAGGCGGUUGGGUAAGUCGGGUGUGAAAACUCCAGGCUCAACUUGGAGAUGCCACCCGAUACUGCUCUGACUUGAGUUCGGUAGGGGAGUGGGGAAUUCCUGGUGUAGCGGUGAAAUGCGCAGAUAUCAGGAGGAACACCGGUGGCGAAGGCGCCACUCUGGGCCGAAACUGACGCUGAGGAGCGAAAGCGUGGGUAGCAAACAGGAUUAGAUACCCUGGUAGUCCACGCCGUAAACGUUGGGCACUAGGUGUGGGCCCUAACCAACGGGGUCCGUGCCGUAGCUAACGCAUUAAGUGCCCCGCCUGGGGAGUACGGCCGCAAGGUUA
Molecule: ribosomal RNA, 374 nt
Filed under: uncultured organism
Description: bacterial SSU rRNA
Rfam family: Bacterial small subunit ribosomal RNA
Source: RNAcentral